AUCCCAGCACCCAGUACAGUAAAUGGUAGGUGUUUCAUAAAUGAUUGUUGGAUAAUUGAAUGAGUCAGACACUUAUUCAUUAUUUACUGAAUCACAGCUUCAGAGAGGGAGACCUAGAGGUCUUUUAGUCUAACUUCUCCCACUUUACAGAAGAAGGAACCAGGGCAAGGUGACUCCUAGUGAGAUCAUAACUGAGUGAGAAUUAAAUUCCAUGUCUCCCCUCCCCAAUCCCUGGGUUUACAAUACCAGGCUUCCCAAGGUAGAAUGCUUAGCAUAUUUUUGUUGGGUAGAUUAUUUCAGCAUUAUAUAACACUGAAUCCACAUAGUGACCAAAUUGUUUCCUUUUAAAGUCUUUUUAUUUUUCUUUUCUUUUUUUUUUUUUUGAGACGGAGUCUCACUCUUUCGCCCAGGCUGGAGUGCAGUGGCACGAUCUUGGCUCACUGCAACCUCCACCUCCCAGGUUCAAGCAGUUCUCUGCUACAGCCUCCCAAGUAGCUGGGAUUACAGGUGCCCACCACCACGCCCAGCUAAUUUUUGUAUUUUCAGUAGAGACAGGGUUUUACCAUGUUGGCCGGACUGGUCUUGAACUCCUGACCUUGUGAUCCACGUCUCUCGGCCUCCCAAAGUGUUAGGAUUACAGGCGUGAGCCACUGUGCCUGGCCAAGUCUUUUUUUUUUUAGACAAGGUCUUGCUCUGUCACCCAGGCUGGAGUGCAGUGAAUGGCUCAUUGCAGCCUCCUACUCCUGAACUUAAGGGAUUCUCCUACCAGAUCCUCCACAGUAGCUGGGACUACAGGUGGGCACCACCAGACUUAGCUAAUUUUCUUAUUUUUUUGCAGAGACAGGGUCUCACUGUGUUGCCCAGGCUGGUCUUGAACUCCUGAGAUCAAGCAAUCCUCCUGCCUUGGCCUCCCAAAGUGCUAGGAUUAGAGGGGUGAGCCACCAUGCCUGGCCUGCACUUGCACUUGACUAGUCUUAAAAAAAAAAAAAAAAAAGAAUAAAGAAUAGCCUUUUCCAAGGCUUCUGAUCAUAAAGAGGAGAAAGUCUUAGUUUGGAGCUAAUAAGUUGCUAACACCUUUCUAACACUUGCUAAUCUUUCCUAGAGCCCUCACAACUAACAGCAUUAAUUAAUUAAUUUUAUUUUAUUUUAUUUUAUUUUUAGAUGGAAUCUCGUUCUUUUGCCCAGGCUGGAGUGCAGUGGGUGUGAUCUCAGCUCACUGCAACCUCCACCUCCCAGGUUCCAGGGAUUGUCCUGUCUCAGCCUCCUGAGUAGCUGGGAUUACAGUCGCCCGUCACCACGCCCAGCUAAUUUUUUGUAUUUUUAGUAGAGAUGGGGUUUUGCUAUGUUGGCCAGGCUAGUCUCAAACUCCUGACCUCAAGUGAUCCGCCCGCCUCAGCCUACCAAAGUGCUAGAAUUACAGGCAUAAGCCACCAUGACUGGCCCUAAUAGCAUUAAUUUAAUUUGAUAUUGUUAUAUUGUUUUAUAAAUAUUUUCAAGCACACCCCAAAGAGAAUAAUAUAAUUAAGCUUCCAUGGACCAUCACCUAGCUUGAAUUACUAUCAACCUUCUAUCAGUUUAUUUUACAUACCCACCCCCAUCACAUACCUUUUCCCAGGAGUAAUUCAAAAUAAAUCCCAUAUAUUAUAUCAUGAUACCCAUAAAUAUUUCAGUAUCUAUAGCUAAUAGAUAAGGUCUUUCUUUUCAACAUAGCCACAUCGCCCUCAUCUCAUCUAACAAAAUUAAAGUAGUUCCUUAAUUAGCCAUCUGUGGUGCUGCACGCCUGUAGUCCUAGCUAUGGAAGGCUGAGACGGGAGGAUUGCUUGAGCCCAAGAGUUUGAGGUCAGCCUGGGCGACAUUGCAAGGCAAGGCCUCUAAAAAAACAGGAGAAAAAAGUAAUCCCCUAAUAUCAUUCGAUACUCAGUCUGUGUUCAAAUUUUCUGUUUUCUGAAAAAUGCCUAUUUAAAUUUAGUUGCCUUGAAUCAGGCUACAAAGAAGCUCGUGCUUUACACUGUAUUCUUUUUUUUUUUUUUGAGACAGAGUUUCACUCUUGUUGCCCAGGCUGGAGUGCAAUGGCGCGAUCUUGGCUCACUGCAACCUCUGCCUCCCGGGUUCAAGGGAUUCUCCUGCCUCAGCCUCCCAAGUAGCUGGGAUUACAGGUGCCAGCCACCACACACAGCUAAUUUUUGUAUUUGUUAGUAGAGACGGGGUUUCACCAUGUUGGUCAGGCUGGUCUUGAACUCCUGACCUCAGGUGAUCCACCUGAAGUGCUCCCAAAGUGCUGGGAUUACAGGCUUGAGCCACCACCGCGCCCGGCCUACACUUUAUUCUUAUGGUUCAUUUAAUCUAUUAGAGAUCCUCCCUUCACUCCCCACCUUUUGUCAUGCCAUUCAUUUAUUGAAGAAAUCAUGUUAUUUGUCUUGCAAAAUUCACCAUAUUCUGGUUUGGCUGAUUUAAUUCUUGUGUUUUUAGACACAUUUCUCUAUUCCUUUGUAUUUCCCAUAAACUGGUAGUUACACUCAGGUUAAUUUCUUUUGCCAUAAGUACUUCCUAUGUCAUGGUGUGCACAUUUUAUUACAUCACACCAUGAAGAACAAGAUGUCUCUUUGUCCCACACUUAGUGAUGUUAAGAUUAUUGAAUUCGGAUGUGAGGACGAUCUGGCUACGAUAUGUGUCACCUCAUUGACCGCCAGGGUUGAUUUGGCUGCUCUGGCUGGCUAGGCAGGUGUCCCUGUCCUUCCUCACCACUCCAUGCACGUCCCCCUGAAGCUGAGUGCUAGGUCUGAGAGGAUGACCAUCCCAGACAGAGCUGGACUGGUCUUCAGUCAAGGGUGUACAAACAGCUGCACUCCCCUGCUAGAACCUCCAAACAAACUAUCAAGAUUAUUGAACUGGUUCAAGUACUGUUGUCCUGGCCCAUCCAUUACAUGGUUCCUCAUCGACCUCUCAUUCCUUAAUCGUUACUUUGACCCAUUACUCUUAGGGGCUGCAAAAUGUUGAUCUUCAAUUUCUAACAAUGCUUCCUCAAUGUUUUAAGGAAGAACUUCCCCUUGAGAAAGAAAAGUAGCUCAGAGCUGUCCAAAGAAUGUGGAGUGUGCAAAAUUUAUCAGGCUGUGAGAGACCAUGAGUAUGAGACAGUCUUGACACCCACCCCCUUCCACUCCCAUUUUCCAGGGACAAUUGUUUAAAGGCAUUUUUUUCUUUCUUUCCUUCACCAAAGCUUCCAGACUAGUUGAUAAAUAACCUAAACUGUUACCAUAAGUUGCACUAUGUGACCUUUACCCAUUAUCUUUAUGUUCCUGGAAUUUGUGGUGCAAAAGAACGUUGUAUAGCCAAUCAAUAGCUUAUGUUAUUUUAAUGUAAAUUUAAUUAUACAAAACACUUAAUAGUUCCAAAGUUAAAACUAUAUAACAAAGUAAUCAGAGAACACUAGCUUUUUAUCAACAACAUUUUCUCUCUCCCUAAGGUAACCAUCUCUAUUAAUUUUUAGUUUUACCUUUCAGUUGCUUCUUUUUGGGUAUGUGAGCAAAUGCACAUGUGCAUGUUUUUAUUUUUCUCUCUCUUGCAGUCUAAACAUUGCUCUGCACUUUGUUUUUAAUGGUUUGUUCACUUUUUACUAAUAUUCCCUGAAGCUCAUUCUAUAGCAUUAUAUAAAAAUUAUUCAUCCCUUUUUACAUUUGGUUAGAACGUAAUAGCAUAAUUGUAUUAUCACUGUCAAUUACUUUCUCUUUAUGACAAGUGUAUCAGCCAGGUUCCUGGCAGAAAACAGAUGGCACUUUCAAAAUGGGUAAUCUGAGAAUUUCAUCAAGGGACUAUUUAUAAAGAUGUGGGCCCUGUGUAUGUAAAUCACAAGGACAGUGCAGUCCUCUAGGGACAGCUGCAGCAAGGUGCCUGAGGGGUAAGGGAGAGUGGGUACUAGAACCAGAGAGAGGGCCAAGGAACAGGAGCUCAGCCCUUGGGUUGAAGAACACAGCCAGUCUGCUGUGAUCCUCUAGGGAAGGGGAUGGGGAAAGAAAGAUUCUAACUUCACUCUUGUUUCUCCCUCUUCCCAGUCGCCUACUGAUGCUCCCCACUGGCCAAUCCCAGAUGGAAACAGAGGCCAUGGGAGCUCAUGGGUGUGGGCCAUAAGGUCAGCCCCUCUGGCCUAGAGAGCAGUUGGGGAGGGGCAGAGAGUGGAUCUGAGGGGAUAUGUGGACACACUUGGCAAAUUAUACUCUUUUUUCAGUGUUAUGAUAUAAGGUUUUCUUUAAGUUAAAUUUAUUUAGAUUAAAAAAAAGUUGAAAUUAAGUAAUUCUGUAGGUGUUAUGAGGAUAUGGCAACAAAGGUAAAGAUGGUACCAGAUGACUGAAGUCUCAGAAGUCCUGCUCUGGACCACUACUCCUUCUAUUUUAGAUAUUGGCCUCCCCUCCCUCCUGCCCCUUCCCUGGCUGCCUUUCCCGUGGCCCUUUGAGAGCCUCUGAGAAACAUUACGGAAUGAUAUUUUUAAUUGGAAAGCACAGGAGAGGCCCAGAAGAGUCCUUGGGUGAAGGGGUUGGCGAGCCUCUGAAAUGGAUCUAUAUACUCCCGGGCAUCCCACGGCACCGGGCCCCACCCAGACCCACUCCCGUGGCUGCCCUCCCAUGAGCACAAGGUGGCUUUCUUAUUUUUUGGCCAGCUGAGCGGCUGAGGGAAGCUGGAUGCCGCCUGCCUUUGGGGCCAAAACUCUGGGCUGGAAACUGAAAAUGACCUUAAGGUGUAAAUAUCCCAGGCCUGGAUUCAGUCCAAGCUGCACUUGGCCCUCACAAGCCAGUCAUAUAGCCUGAGGGGCUAAGAAUGAUCUCAGAGAGCCAAGUGCAGUGGCUCACGCCUGUAAUCCCAGCACUUUGGGAGGCUCAGGCAGGCAGAUCACGAGGUAAGGAGUUCGAGACCAGCCUGGCCAACAUGGUGAAACCCCGUCUCUACUAAAAAUACAAAAAAAAAUUAACUGAGCAUGGUGGCACUCACCUGUAGUCCUGGCUACUCGGGAGGCUGAGGCAGGAGAAUCGCUUGAACCCGGGAGGUGGAGGUUGCAGUGAGCCAAGAUCAUGCCACUGGACUCCAGCCUGGGCAACAGAGCGAGACUCCAUCUGAGAAAAAAAAAAUUGUCUUGUGUGUUUAUUUAUGGGCCUGUUCUCUAUUGCCUUCUCCCCAGAAUGUAAGUGCCAUGAAAGCAGGGACCUCGUCUGUCUUUGUCUCCACUGUAGCUCUUGUGCCUCACACAAUACCUACAUUUGUUUCACAGUGAUGAUGUUUCCAUUAUCAAUAACUCACCAUAGGAAUUUUAUAUUUGUUUUACCAUAAUUUUAAAAAUCAGCCUUAAUAGUUACAAAAAUUAGAAAGUUUAAGAAAUAAUGUUACAGUUAAUUUUCAAGAAUUUUACUGACUCCCACAGCGCUUGGAUUACAGGUGCCAGCCAGUGUACCUGUCCUUGCUUUCUUGAUGUUUUCUCU
Molecule: long non-coding RNA, 5465 nt
Filed under: Homo sapiens (human)
Lineage: Eukaryota; Metazoa; Chordata; Mammalia; Primates; Hominidae
Description: HSALNT0096331
Rfam family: 7SK RNA (bases 2641-2930)
Source: RNAcentral